RNAcentral lists this ribosomal RNA (233 nucleotides) under Saprospiraceae bacterium. Its description in RNAcentral is "partial 16S ribosomal RNA". It matches the Rfam family "Bacterial small subunit ribosomal RNA", at positions 1 to 233 of the family's 1533-position model. Lineage: Bacteria; Pseudomonadati; Bacteroidota; Saprospiria; Saprospirales; Saprospiraceae. The record is from RNAcentral.
ACUAUGGAGAGUUUGAUCCUGGCUCAGGAUGAACGCUAGCGGGAGGCCUAAUACAUGCAAGUCGAACGGGUGAAUUAGCUUCGGUUGGUUCACUAGUGGCGCACGGGUGAGUAACGCGUACGCAAUCUGCCCUAUGCUGGGGAAUAGCCCUGGGAAACUGGGAGUAAUACGCCAUAGUUCUACGGAUCUGCAUGGAUUUGUAGAUAAAGCUGCGGCGGCAUAGGAUGAGCGUG